This 331-nucleotide ribosomal RNA is filed under the name uncultured thermophilic aerobic biofilm eubacterium SCBP-F16. RNAcentral's name for it is "bacterial SSU rRNA". It matches the Rfam family "Bacterial small subunit ribosomal RNA", at positions 164 to 483 of the family's 1533-position model. The record is from RNAcentral.
UAAUGCCGGAUACGCCCGCGAGGAGGCAUCUUUUUGCGGGGAAAGGCCCGAUUGGGCCGCUGAGAGAGGAGCCCCGGCGCAUUAGCUGGUUGGCGGGGUAACGGGCCACCAAGGCGACGAUGCGUAGCCGACCUGAGAGGGUGACCGCCCACACUGGGACUCAGACACGGCCCAGACUCCUACGGGAGGCAGAGUAGGGGAAUCUUCCGCAAUGGGUGCAAGCCUGACGGAGCAACGCCGCGUGAGGAAGAAGGCCUUCGGGUUGUAAACCUCUGUUGCUCGGGGAGAGCGGCAUGGGGAGUGGAAAGCCCCAUGCGAGACGGUACCGAGU